AAAGAAAGAGCGAAAACUUCAAAUUAAUCGAAGUGAUUCUUUGAUAGUUUCGGCUCCAUCGAAGGAUCAAAAUUCUUUAAAAAGCAGAUCCUUCAAGGAUCUGAUCUCUUUUUAUCCUGAAAAUUCAAAAGUGAAGGUCUAUUGUUAGAGUCCAAUUCAAUUGGUAGUCGACAAAAAAGUGCGCAGUGAAUAAUUAAAAGUUAUAAGUACGGUUAGUAGCUACAAACGAGUAUAAAACUUAAGGCUAAUGUUAAUGUUAUAAAUAGGUUAAUCGCUUAAAUAGUGAGAACAUUCAAUUCACAAAAGUACGCAAACGAAAAAAAACAAGGAAAAAAGGUCCACGAAGGGCCUUUUUUCUUUCUUUCGGACAGCUGAACCAGUGAAAGCGGACGGGAACCCUCUGUGGUCGGUCGUUGUACCUGUCGGGAACCAGACGGGAACCCUCUGUGGUCGGUCGUUGUACCUGUUGGGAGCGUGCCUGUCGAGGUGUGGAGUGGAGAAUCAGACCAAGAACCCAGUCCCUUCUUCCGGUUCGUCUACGGAUAGCCAAAACCGAUACCGCCAAGCUCGACAGACCUCCACCAUCAAGCAAGCCGCUUGCCAACCGACCCAUUCGUCCCGCCGCUAUAGUCAGCAUCGCAUGAAGCAAUUCGCCUCUGGUGGAUACCGCCAUUUUGCCAGAUCGUGCCCGGCAGAGUGAAGACACCUCUCCUUCGGCAUUUCAUCAUCGCUUGUGGAUGAUGCCGAUUCCCUAAAACACAGCAUGCAGACAGCGUAGUGAGCUACACCCACCACCA
Armigeres subalbatus is the source of this 797-nucleotide long non-coding RNA. RefSeq lists it as uncharacterized. NCBI's taxonomy places the organism in Eukaryota, Metazoa, Arthropoda, Insecta, Diptera, Culicidae. The record is from RefSeq and is a predicted model, not a curated record. The transcript is spliced from 3 exons.